GACGUAGGGUGCAAGCGUUGUCCGGAUUUACUGGGCGUAAAGAGCGCGUAGGCGGUCUGUUAAGUGUAGAGUGAAAGCUCCGGGCUCAACCUGGAAAUUGCUCUGCAUACUGGCAGACUUGAGGAAUGGAGAGGUUUGUGGAAUUCCUGGUGUAGCGGUGAAAUGCAUUGAUAUCAGGAGGAACACCGAUGGCGAAGGCAGCAAACUGGCCAUUAUCUGACGCUGAGGCGCGAAAGCGUGGGUAGCAAACAGG
This 253-nucleotide ribosomal RNA is filed under the name uncultured bacterium. RNAcentral's name for it is "partial 16S ribosomal RNA". It matches the Rfam family "Bacterial small subunit ribosomal RNA", at positions 524 to 776 of the family's 1533-position model. The record is from RNAcentral.